RNAcentral lists this ribosomal RNA (254 nucleotides) under uncultured bacterium. RNAcentral describes it as "partial 16S ribosomal RNA". It matches the Rfam family "Bacterial small subunit ribosomal RNA", at positions 524 to 776 of the family's 1533-position model. The record is from RNAcentral.
UACGGAGGGGGGCUAGCGUUGUUCGGAAUUACUGGGCGUAAAGCGCACGUAGGCGGCUUUGUAAGUUAGAGGUGAAAGCCCGGGGCUCAACUCCGGAAUUGCCUUUAAGACUGCAUCGCUCGAGUUGUGGAGAGGUAAGUGGAAUUCCGAGUGUAGAGGUGAAAUUCGUAGAUAUUCGGAAGAACACCAGUGGCGAAGGCGACUUACUGGACACAUACUGACGCUGAGGUGCGAAAGCGUGGGGAGCAAACAGG